GACGAACGCUGGCGGUGUGCUUAACACAUGCAAGUCGAACGGUAAGGCCCUUUCGGGGGUACACGAGUGGCGAACGGGUGAGUAACACGUGAGUAACCUGCCCUCAUCUCUGGGAUAACAGUCGGAAACGGUUGCUAAUACUGGAUAUGAGCUUGCAAGGCAUCUUGUGGGUUGGAAAGAUUUUUUUUGGUUGGGGAUGGACUCGCGGCCUAUCAGCUUGUUGGUGAGGUAGUGGCUCACCAAGGCUUCGACGGGUAGCCGGCCUGAGAGGGCGGCCAGCCACAUUGGGACUGAGAUACGGCCCAAACUCCUACGGGAGGCAGCAGUGGGGAAUAUUGCACAAUGGACGGAAGUCUGAUGCAGCAACGCCGCGUGCGGGAUGACGGCCUUCGGGUUGUAAACCGCUUUCAAUUGUGACGAAGCUUUUUUGUGACGGUAGCAGUAGAAGAAGCACCGGCUAACUACGUG
This 468-nucleotide ribosomal RNA is filed under the name uncultured bacterium. RNAcentral describes it as "partial 16S ribosomal RNA". It matches the Rfam family "Bacterial small subunit ribosomal RNA", at positions 28 to 507 of the family's 1533-position model. The record is from RNAcentral.